This 473-nucleotide long non-coding RNA is filed under the name Bos taurus (domestic cattle). RNAcentral describes it as "long non-coding RNA NONBTAT002982". The record is from RNAcentral. Lineage: Eukaryota; Metazoa; Chordata; Mammalia; Artiodactyla; Bovidae.
UCAAAUUUUAGCAGUAUAAGGACAGGGCCAUAGCAGGUAAGGAUACAGAAGAAAUUCUGUUGCCUUUUUCUCUCCCUUUCCAAAGCAUAUGUUUUAGUCAGGGUUGAUGACUGCAAGAAGCAGGAAACUCUUCACUACCCAAACUAGUUCUAAAAGGCAAUACUCUCUCACAAGGUGUCUUCACUGACAGGAGCCUGCCAGUCUCCACUGCCCGCCUGAUGAUGCCCGCUGAGCUGGCACGGCCAGGGGCCGGUUUUGACUCUGUCGUCACGGGUUUUCCAUCCCUUUGUGAGUGGCCAGUCUCUGUCUCUCCUCCAAAUUCUGAGCACAGUGCGUCUGGUUGGCUCAAUCCCACGUACAGGUUGGUUUUUCUUAUACCCUUUCUCACCCCAGUUUAGUAACAUCCAGAGGAUGAAGUCAUAUGGCCCAUGUUUUGCCUUUCUAAGGGAUUAAAAAACAAAACUACCUGAGCU